ACUAGGGUUGGUCUCCAGCUGCCCCCCAGCCUUACCCUGGCCUCUGGGUUGAGGUUCUGUCUCCAAACAUCUCUAUUCAAGUGCAAUGCCUGCUUUUGACUUCCUGCCCUUGUCUUUGCCCUGCUCUGUCCUCGUGGGCUGCCUCAUGUUUUGGACUCUUGGCUGAACCAGCUGCUGUCCCUGGACCUUUCCUGCCCCGUGCUCAGGUACCUUGGAGCUGGGUCCCCUUCACAGAGGUUGUUCCAGAGUAAGGAAGGGCGCACUGGAGACUACUGAUAGCAGCUGGUGGAAAUAACUGGUGAGCCUGCUGGGGAUGAUGCUUUUUGCUGUGUAUGUAGAGCAAAUAAGCCUCAGUCUUUACCUUGGUUUGAAAUAGCAGCUUUCACCCCCAUUUUUGUGGUAGUGCUGCUGUGGCCAUGAUGAUUGCCUAGGGACGAAGACAGAUGUGCUGCUUCUUGUCAGACCAAGAAAAGCAGGUGUUAGCCUUCCUUCAGCCCUGGAGCAGCAGCAGGAGGUGGCUCCGUGCUGUCCUCCCCUGACUGCUUGUCGUGACACGCAGCACAGAAAUGCUCUGAUGAGGUGCACUCGCUGAGCAAACAGCUACAACAGGUUGCUCUCUUACUACUCCAGUUUAUUUUUCACUCUGCUGAAGAUGACUGCCCGUCAGUCCUCUGCUGAUAGCGCUCUCUAAUUGUCUUUAAAAAAAAUUCAACGAGGUGCUUGGGAUCGGCUUGAGGCUGUAUGCGGGGCCUGGGUGGGGCUGGAGCAGCCAGGAUUCACAUCGUGUGUGAGAGCCAGCACAGCUCCCAGCUAGAACACGUAACAGCCCCGGGCUGUCCGGUCCCACGAGCCGUCUCCAGUGCGGGAAUCACCCACUUCAAAGGCCACCCCUGGAAACACAGCAGAGGUCAGGGCAGAGGGCUUGCGAUUGGCAAGGAAUGAGCACCGGCAAGGGCAUAAAGAUAGUGCUCAGCCAUCUGCAGGGGUGUUUAUGCAAACUUUCUAGGACUUGUUCAGCUUUCUGGGGAUCUUCCAGCUUUCUAGGUAGAAGGGCAAGUUUUUCAACCAUUAGUUAGAUGAACCCUCCCACUUCCCAGAGUCAAAGAAUUCCCAUGGGGAUUGCCCUGGGGACCUCUUCCUCCUCUCCUAAAAACAUGUGAGCAUCUAUUUGGAGCUUUUUCUUUCAGCAGCUCACUAAUGUGUAUUUCUGCUACCUGUCGCGUUUAUUUCGAUUAUUCAUUCUGUGUUCAAAUUUUGGUCCAUGUCCAAUGAGCUUCAGAAAUAUAUUUCUUAAUUAC
Long non-coding RNA from Passer domesticus (house sparrow), 1298 nucleotides. RefSeq lists it as uncharacterized. The record is from RefSeq and is a predicted model, not a curated record. Lineage: Eukaryota; Metazoa; Chordata; Aves; Passeriformes; Passeridae. The transcript has 2 exons.